AGUGAACGCUAGCGGCAAGCUUAACACAUGCAAGUCUAACUGGUCUAGCAAUAGAUUGGUGGCAAACGGGUGAGUAAUGCGUAGGAAUCUACCCAAGAUUAAGGAAUAUGUACUAGAAAUAGUAAGCAAUACCUUAUAACUCCUGAGGGAAAAAGAUUUAUCGAUCUUGGAUGAGCCUGCGUGGGAUUAGUUAGUUGGUGGGGUAAUGGCCUACCAAGACUGUGAUCUCUAGCCGACCUGAGAGGGUGGUCGGCCACACUGGGACUGAGACACGGCCCAGACUCCUACGGGAGGCAGCAGUGGGGAAUAUUGGACAAUGGGCGAAGGCCUGAUCCAGCUAUGUCGCGUGAACGAUGAAGGUCUUAGGAUUGUAAAGUUCUUUUAGUGGGGACGAUAAUGACGGUACCCACAGAAAAAGCCCCGGCUAACUUCGUGCCAGCCGCCCGCCGUAA
RNAcentral lists this ribosomal RNA (452 nucleotides) under uncultured bacterium. RNAcentral's name for it is "partial 16S ribosomal RNA". It matches the Rfam family "Bacterial small subunit ribosomal RNA", at positions 29 to 523 of the family's 1533-position model. The record is from RNAcentral.